Lathyrus oleraceus (garden pea) is the source of this 1181-nucleotide long non-coding RNA. RefSeq lists it as uncharacterized. The record is from RefSeq and is a predicted model, not a curated record. The transcript has 2 exons. NCBI's taxonomy places the organism in Eukaryota, Viridiplantae, Streptophyta, Magnoliopsida, Fabales, Fabaceae.
UAGGGGGUUAACAGAUUGAAAAAGGGGUAUAGAUUGUUGUAUGAGGAAGCUGGCUUGGGCCUAAAGCCCAAGCUCCCAAUAACCAAUCCAGAUCCAUCUUGGCCAUGAAUUCUUCAAAGACCAUCAACGCCACCAGAAACGUCGGAAACUUCAGUACUCGUAACACAUGAAUGGCCCUAAAAUCCGAUGCAACAAACGCGUCCAGAAUCGCGACGAAGCUUCACCUCCGCGAACAAAAUCUAACGCGAACAAACGGGUCACGAUGUGACGAACUCAAUUCGUAUCAGUGGCAAAAAUCGGAUUUCGAAAUUGGAUCACCGAUUUUAAAGCUCGCUUUCCCUCGUCUUCUUGCGUGCGCAAAAUGAAAUAGAGUGAGAUUGAUACUUUCCGAUUCGAUGAUGUUGGUGUAUUCGCCUCUGUGUUAGUCGAUUUGCGCGUGUUUCGCUGCGUUGAGGUGUUGCAAAGAAAAGUGAAAAUGGAGAUGUACAGCGAAUCCAAUAGUCUCUCCCGGUAAUGAACCGAAGCAUGAAGGUAUUUAAAUAUCUUAGAAGCCUCCUCUUGCUUGUUGGAUUCUUCUUCCUUACCGUUUUGCUUCUGUUUCCAUUCUUUUUUCACUUCUUCUCUUUGGAUCCUUCUUGCAUUGUUGUUGAGGGUGAGUGAUGGUUCUGUUAUGGUUUCUUGGCGGAGUUUGUGAAGGUUGAAGUUAUUGAUUGGAGUUGCAGCUCAGAUGCGGUUAGAGAGUUUGUUGUGCAGAGUUCGUCUGCGUUUCAAAGGAAGGAGGAAGAAGACGCCGAGAAGCUGCUUGUGCCGCGGCGGUUGUUCGGAAAGAGGAAGAAGGUGAAGUGAUAGUGAUGAAGAUUCGUGUAACUGUGACAGUUGCAGUGUCGAUUCUGAAGAAAAAUGAAAAAUCUUCCCAAUUUUUGGUGUAGCUGUUGACGUCAUGGCCUUGAGUUGUUUUGGAUGGCGCCGUUUCCGCAUUUCGGUUGCAGCUUGUUUCGCGUUUGGUUGUGGCUGUUGUUGUUUCGCGGUGUUGAAUUUAACGUUUGCGCUUCGUCUUGGUUGUGUGUUAGUCGCAUCUUUCACUUGCCUGUAUUCCACUUCAUAGCGAUUCGUUCCAUCCCAUGCUGCGUUUUUACUUGCACUUUGUCUCAUUGAAUGAGGAUACGACUAUGUCAAUUGAA